RNAcentral lists this long non-coding RNA (224 nucleotides) under Elaeis guineensis (African oil palm). RNAcentral's name for it is "long non-coding RNA (EGUI_LNC052738)". The record is from RNAcentral. Lineage: Eukaryota; Viridiplantae; Streptophyta; Magnoliopsida; Arecales; Arecaceae.
UCUGCUAUAAUGCGUGGUAUCGGAUCCUACACGACAAUGAUAAAAAUAUCAAAUAACUUUUAUUAAUUUAUAAUUCAUAUACAAUUUACAAGGAGCAUAAUCGUUUACAAAUAGACGAUUGGCUUUAGAACACAUUUCUUAAUAUCAAGUAUGGACUUUGGUUGAUGCACCUGUGAGCAUGACCCGAUAGACUGCUAACAGGAAUAUCUAUUCAGAUCUUGUUA